AUUCAGCUGACGAGUUCUAAAUAGGACGAAACAUAUGACCAGGAU
RNAcentral lists this non-coding RNA (45 nucleotides) under Schistosoma bovis. RNAcentral also lists the same sequence under 1 other name. The record is from RNAcentral. Lineage: Eukaryota; Metazoa; Platyhelminthes; Trematoda; Strigeidida; Schistosomatidae.